Molecule: unclassified non-coding RNA, 173 nt
Filed under: uncultured Sporidiobolales
Lineage: Eukaryota; Fungi; Basidiomycota; Microbotryomycetes; Sporidiobolales
Description: sequence contains ITS1
Source: RNAcentral
GUGAAUUAUAGGGCGUCUACUUCGGUAGGGCCUGACCUCCACUUUCUAACUCUGUGCACUCAUUUGGCGGAAAAGAGGAAUAGUGAUUGUCUCGCGACGAUUAGGACUUCCUUCUUUCUGCGGCUUACUUUAAACACCAGUCAAAGUAUGUAACGAAAUAUCGAAACAAAAAA